This 200-nucleotide ribosomal RNA is filed under the name uncultured bacterium. RNAcentral's name for it is "partial 16S ribosomal RNA". It matches the Rfam family "Bacterial small subunit ribosomal RNA", at positions 29 to 259 of the family's 1533-position model. The record is from RNAcentral.
AACGAACGCUGGCGGCAGGCUUAACACAUGCAAGUCGAGCGCCCCGCAAGGGGAGCGGCAGACGGGUGAGUAACGCGUGGGAAUCUACCCAUCUCUACGGAAUAACGCAUGGAAACGUGUGCUAAUACCGCAUACGCCCUACGGGGAAAGAUUUAUCGGGGUAUGAUGAGCCCGCGUUGGAUUAGCUAGUUGGUGGGGUA